Acanthosepion pharaonis is the source of this 106-nucleotide non-coding RNA. The record is from the annotation of a GenBank genome assembly. Lineage: Eukaryota; Metazoa; Mollusca; Cephalopoda; Sepiida; Sepiidae.
UUACGACCAUAUCACGUUGAAACACGAGUUCUCGUUGGAUCACCGAAGUUAAGCAAUGUAGAAACUAGGCUGUACCUAAAUGGGUGACCGUUUGGGAACACCAAGG